GGUGCUUGCAUCAUGAUUUACAUUUGAGUGAGUGGCGAACUGGUGAGUAACACGUGGGAAACCUGCCCAGAAGCGGGGGAUAACACCUGGAAACAGAUGCUAAUACCGCAUAACAACUUGGACCGCAUGGUCCGAGUUUGAAAGAUGGCUUCGGCUAUCACUUUUGGAUGGUCCCGCGGCGUAUUAGCUAGAUGGUGGGGUAACGGCUCACCAUGGCAAUGAUACGUAGCCGACCUGAGAGGGUAAUCGGCCACAUUGGGACUGAGACACGGCCCAAACUCCUACGGGAGGCAGCAGUAGGGAAUCUUCCACAAUGGACGAAAGUCUGAUGGAGCAACGCCGCGUGAGUGAAGAAGGGUUUCGGCUCGUAAAACUCUGUUGUUAAAGAAGAACAUAUCUGAGAGUAACUGUUCAGGUAUUGACGGUAUUUAACCAGAAAGCCACGGCUAACUACGUGCCAGCAGCCGCGGUAAUACGUAGGUGGCAAGCGUUGUCCGGAUUUAUUGGGCGUAAAGCGAGCGCAGGCGGUUUUUUAAGUCUGAUGUGAAAGCCUUCGGCUCAACCGAAGAAGUGCAUCGGAAACUGGGAAACUUGAGUGCAGAAGAGGACAGUGGAACUCCAUGUGUAGCGGUGAAAUGCGUAGAUAUAUGGAAGAACACCAGUGGCGAAGGCGGCUGUCUGGUCUGUAACUGACGCUGAGGCUCGAAAGUAUGGGUAGCAAACAGGAUUAGAUACCCUGGUAGUCCAUACCGUAAACGAUGAAUGCUAAGUGUUGGAGGGUUUCCGCCCUUCAGUGCUGCAGCUAACGCAUUAAGCAUUCCGCCUGGGGAGUACGGCCGCAAGGCUGAAACUCAAAGGAAUUGACGGGGGCCCGCACAAGCGGUGGAGCAUGUGGUUUAAUUCGAAGCUACGCGAAGAACCUUACCAGGUCUUGACAUACUAUGCAAAUCUAAGAGAUUAGACGUUCCCUUCGGGGACAUGGAUACAGGUGGUGCAUGGUUGUCGUCAGCUCGUGUCGUGAGAUGUUGGGUUAAGUCCCGCAACGAGCGCAACCCUUAUUAUCAGUUGCCAGCAUUAAGUUGGGCACUCUGGUGAGACUGCCGGUGACAAACCGGAGGAAGGUGGGGAUGACGUCAAAUCAUCAUGCCCCUUAUGACCUGGGCUACACACGUGCUACAAUGGAUGGUACAACGAGUUGCGAACUCGCGAGAGUAAGCUAAUCUCUUAAAGCCAUUCUCAGUUCGGAUUGUAGGCUGCAACUCGCCUACAUGAAGUCGGAAUCGCUAGUAAUCGCGGAUCAGCAUGCCGCGGUGAAUACGUUCCCGGGCCUUGUACACACCGCCCGUCACACCAUGAGAG
RNAcentral lists this ribosomal RNA (1359 nucleotides) under Lactiplantibacillus plantarum. RNAcentral's name for it is "bacterial SSU rRNA". It matches the Rfam family "Bacterial small subunit ribosomal RNA", at positions 64 to 1410 of the family's 1533-position model. RNAcentral also lists the same sequence under 1 other name. Lineage: Bacteria; Bacillati; Bacillota; Bacilli; Lactobacillales; Lactobacillaceae. The record is from RNAcentral.